GGGGCAGGGAGGGGGCCGCAGGAAGCGGUUACUUACCUUCCCAGCAGCUCCCUUCUGCUCCCUGUGUAAAUAUCGCGAUUUACACAGGGAGCUGCUGGAAAGUUAAGUAAGCGCUUGCUGCCAACCCCCACUGCACGUCCAUGCCAGUGGACCACCAGGGAAUGCUAUAUUCCCCCUCAUUGGCCAGGUAACAAGCAGGGAGGGGGGCC
Non-coding RNA from Pelobates cultripes (western spadefoot toad), 209 nucleotides. Lineage: Eukaryota; Metazoa; Chordata; Amphibia; Anura; Pelobatidae. The record is from the annotation of a GenBank genome assembly.